RNAcentral lists this ribosomal RNA (623 nucleotides) under uncultured bacterium. RNAcentral describes it as "bacterial SSU rRNA". It matches the Rfam family "Bacterial small subunit ribosomal RNA", at positions 338 to 961 of the family's 1533-position model. The record is from RNAcentral.
CCUACGGGAGGCAGCAGUGGGGAAUUUUGGACAAUGGGCGCAAGCCUGAUCCAGCAAUGCCGCGUGAGUGAAGAAGGCCUUCGGGUUGUAAAGCUCUUUUGUCAGGGAAGAAACGGUGGGGGCUAAUAUCUCCUACUAAUGACGGUACCUGAAGAAUAAGCACCGGCUAACUACGUGCCAGCAGCCGCGGUAAUACGUAGGGUGCAAGCGUUAAUCGGAAUUACUGGGCGUAAAGCGUGCGCAGGCGGUUUUGUAAGUCUGUCGUGAAAGCCCCGGGCUCAACCUGGGAAUUGCGAUGGAGACUGCAAGGCUUGAAUCUGGCAGAGGGGGGUAGAAUUCCACGUGUAGCAGUGAAAUGCGUAGAGAUGUGGAGGAACACCGAUGGCGAAGGCAGCCCCCUGGGUCAAGAUUGACGCUCAUGCACGAAAGCGUGGGGAGCAAACAGGAUUAGAUACCCUGGUAGUCCACGCCCUAAACGAUGUCUACUAGUUGUCGGGUUUUAAUUAACUUGGUAACGCAGCUAACGCGUGAAGUAGCCGCCUGGGGAGUACGGUCGCAAGAUUAAAACUCAAAGGAAUUGGAGGCGUGAGACGUGCCGACGGACGACGACGAGGGAGGUUAGG